This 68-nucleotide transfer RNA is filed under the name Littoraria sinensis. Its description in RNAcentral is "tRNA-Glu". It matches the Rfam family "tRNA". Rfam says of the family: Transfer RNA (tRNA) molecules are approximately 80 nucleotides in length. Their secondary structure includes four short double-helical elements and three loops (D, anti-codon, and T loops). Further hydrogen bonds mediate the characteristic L-shaped molecular structure. tRNAs have two regions of fundamental functional importance: the anti-codon, which is responsible for specific mRNA codon recognition, and the 3' end, to which the tRNAs corresponding amino acid is attached (by aminoacyl-tRNA synthetases). tRNAs cope with the degeneracy of the genetic code in two manners: having more than one tRNA (with a specific anti-codon) for a particular amino acid; and 'wobble' base-pairing, i.e. permitting non-standard base-pairing at the 3rd anti-codon position. The record is from RNAcentral. Lineage: Eukaryota; Metazoa; Mollusca; Gastropoda; Littorinimorpha; Littorinidae.
GUUUUUGUGGUGUAGAACUUGCACGUUAGAUUUUCAUUCUAAAGGAGUAGAUUAAUUUACCAAAAAUA